CGGAAAGACAGACCCAAGAUAAGAAGUGGAUGAACUUUUCAGUGGAGGCACCAGACCAUGGCAGCCCUGGCAGAUUUCUAUUUUCUCAGUUAUCAAACUCAGUGUCUUGUCUUUUCUUUUUCUGGUGUGUCGCUCCUUUGCAAAACUCCAGAAAAGUGAUAGAGUUUUCUAUAUUUGCAGCAGCACACUACCCCUCUCACUUGAACUCAAACAUUUCCAUUUUUCACUAUAUGUCUCUUCCUGUCCCCACCUUCUGCGUUCAGGCUGACCUACCUUAUCACUUUUCUUUUUCUCCUGUUUUCUCUCAGUGCAUCCCUUCUCUGCUACCCUCGGGACUCUCUCAUCUUUCAUUUGUUGUCCUCAGCACCACCGGGCCGCCCCGCUGUUAGCUCUCUGUCAAUACCUCAGCAGGAACUGUCCCCGGUUGUACCAGUCAUAUUAACACUGUUUGGCACACAUGGAUGUCCAGGCACUUAAGGAACCAGCAGGGUGGCUGUGACACAAUGAAACGGUUGCAUUUCCCAUAUGUUUCGUGCCUUUCUUCACUUUCUCUCUCUUUGCUUCUGUCUCUUUUUUUUUUCAUCUGUCUCUCUUCCUCUCUGGUGACAGGGGUGGUGAAAGGAUCUCAGCCUCUGGGUGGAGACCUGUUGAAGGAUGUAUUUAACUGGAAGUACUGCAGCAAUGUGCAGUGCAAUGGAAGUUGAUGAGUGACACAGCAAAGGCUGGUGAUACAGAGGGGAGGACAUACAGCAAAGGGCUUUGGCUGAACUUGAACUUGGACUGCUGAGAUGAGGACUCGGCUUUAAUGGUCCGAAAUACACACACAUGCACAAACAGGACCUAUACAUGCCCAAAGUGGAGAGAUGUCAGAGUGAGGGGGCUGCCCUUGGUCAGGUGCCCCAAGCGGUUGGGGGGUUCAGUGCCUGGCUCAAGGGCACCCCGGCAGUGCCCAGGAGGUGAACCGGCACCUCUCCAGCCACCAGUCCACGCUCUGCAUUUGGUCUGGACAGGGACUUGAACCGGUGACCCUCCGGUUCCCAACCCAAGUCCGUAUGGGCUGAGCUACUGCCGCCCCCAAAUGUGAGCAUGUUAGCAUCAUUGUGAGCAUGUUACCCUUGUCCUUGUGAACAUGUUAGCAUUUUUGUUGUGUGCAUUUCGGCAUUUUCAUUGUGAGUCUGUAAACAUGUUAGAAUUGUCUUUGUUAGCAAGUUAGCAUUGUUAUUAUGAGCAUGUUAGCAUUGUCUUUGUGAGCAUAUGAACAUUAGCAUCAUUGUGAGCAUUGUCAGCGUUGUUAGCGUUGUCAAUGUGAGCAUUCUGGCCUUUUCCUUGUGACCAUGUUAGCAGCAUCAGUGUGACCAUGUUAGCAUUGUCAUUGUGAGCAUGUUAGAUUUGUCAUUGUGAACAUUUAAGCAUUGUUAUUGUGAGAAAGUUAGCAUUGUUGUUGUUAUGAGCAUUUUGAAAGUGUCAUCGUGAACAUAUGAGCAUGUUAGCAUCAUUGAGAGCACGCUAGCAUAGUCAUUGUGGGCAUGUUAAAUUUAAUAAGUUAAUUGAGUGAAUUGAGUCUUAGCAUUGUCCCUGUGAGCAUGUUGGAUUUGUCAUUGUAAUUAUGCUAGCAUUGUCAUAGUGUGAGCAGUCUAGCAUUGUUAUCAUGAGCAUGUUAGCAAUGUCAAUGUGAGCAUUUUGGCAUUGUCCUCACGUUAGCAUUGUCCUUGUGAGCAUGUUAGCAGCAUCAGUGUGGGUCCAUGUCAUUGGUUCGACAGCCCAUUGGUUUCGACAUCCCAUUAGUCCGACUGUCCACGGUGCUGAACGGCUCGCGGCGGGCGUAUGGUGCGCCGCGACCGGCUUGAGGCGGAGCAUGCUCACGGCUUAUGUGUUUGUCACUUUCUUUUUCAUUUUAACCCACACCAUGAUCUUUUCCUGACCCUAACCAAGUGGUUUUUGUGCCUAAACCUAACCAGACCUUAACCACAGGGCAUCAUGAUGAUUUCGGAACGGAUUUCGGAACAAUGAGUUUAAUAUGUUCGGAACAAUGGGAUGUCGAACCAAUGGGCUGUCGAACCAAUGGGCAGUUCCCAUCAGUGUGACCAUGUUAGUGUUGUCAUUUUGAGUGAAUUAGCUUUUAUC
Long non-coding RNA from Epinephelus moara (kelp grouper), 2124 nucleotides. RefSeq lists it as uncharacterized. Lineage: Eukaryota; Metazoa; Chordata; Actinopteri; Perciformes; Serranidae. The transcript is spliced from 3 exons. The record is from RefSeq and is a predicted model, not a curated record.